Molecule: long non-coding RNA, 281 nt
Filed under: Ananas comosus (pineapple)
Lineage: Eukaryota; Viridiplantae; Streptophyta; Magnoliopsida; Poales; Bromeliaceae
Description: long non-coding RNA (ACOM_LNC017369)
Source: RNAcentral
UUUUAUCUUUUCGGAAGCUUUUUCGUUAAUAUUUCGUUAAAUUAUAUACAAAAAACUUCAGAUAACCAUCUAUAUUUAUCGAAUAGUCACUUUAGUAUCCUUUAAUUUUAACUUUGUCACUGAUUUUAAAAAAAAUAAUAAUAAAAUUGAUAACAAAAAGAUAAAAACGAAACCACAGGGGGGCAAAUUGAUACGUUUUAAACCACAGGGUAGCAAAGUGAGAAUGAACGAAACCACAGGGGGGGUUUUUGAAGUUUUCCCUAAUAAAUUUUAUUAGUGAC